CUAGCUUCACGCGGUUAGUUUAUAUCACGUUUCGCGCUCGGGAGGGCGAUGCAUUUGUGCGUACGAACAUACAACGCACGAACGUAGCCUGUGUGCAUACUGCCAAUACUGUGUUCUCAUUAGGGGAAUUGCCGGUACUGUGAGUUCACCGUGUGUGCAGCUUCUUUCUGGACAAAUGAAGGUAUUUAAAAGAAUUCCAAUGUUGUGUGAAUUUAGUAGGUACUGUGCACAUGCCUGUGUUCCCUCCAUAUCUUAAAAAGGCGUGUUGGGUCUUGAGCAAAAUGACAGUGAUAGCUGGUCACGGCGAUGGUGAAUGGCAAAUGCAACCCGGCACAGCUGCUUGGCAAGUUCGUGCGGUACUGUUUCUUCCCGAGUUCAGCCGCCAGCCGUAAACCUGGGCCUUCUGGUGCGAACAACUGGACGGACACAGCCAAAUGACGUUUCCCUGUUUUAUUCGCUAACACAAGACUCAAUACGUAGUUAAAAUCAUCAACUGUACAAAACAUUUUAUUAAUAUCAGACACCGUGCAUAACUAAAGGCUAUUCAAAAUGUCGGAAAAACGUGAUUUGUGUCGUGAAGACGUUGAGAAAUAUUUGGACACCCAUCAUGAUAUUGCCAUGGAGAUUUUUGCUGCAAAGGCAACACCAGAGUUGGUGGAUGGAUGGCUGUCCAAGCAUUCAGUUGGUCAUGUUGCAAAGAGCAUGUCAAGCCAUGAAAUUGGGUCCUGGCCGGAUGUCUCUGCCUGUGCAUCAAACACAGACAAGCACAAAAUGUUGCACUCCUUACGCAAAAGUUUUGCAGGUGCCAGUGGAAGUUUACGCAGUCUUCUGUCACCAAGGAAACGGAAAGUGGUGCGAAGAAAUAAAUCUGCACUCAAGCAGCUUGAUGAGAAAGAUUUGUUUAUGGAACUGAUUCGUGACAUAGCUGAUGAACUUGACCUACACACGCUCAGCCACAAGAUUCUCAUGAAUGUGAGUAUCUUGACGAAUGGAGAUCGCUGCAGCCUCUUUUUGGCACGUGGAAAUCGUGAUAAUCGCUACCUAGUGUCCAAGCUUUUUGACGUGACGGAGAAUUCAACAGUUGAGGAUGCUCUUCACUCCGAAGAAGAUGAAAUUCGUAUACCCUUUGGACAGGGUAUAGCUGGGCAUGUGGCACAAACCAAGGAGACAGUCAACAUAAAGAAUGCAUAUGAGGAUCCUCGUUUCAAUCCCGAGGUAGACAAGCGAACUGGCUACCGCACCUACAGUAUUCUCUGUAUGCCCAUCAUCAACCACGACGGAGAUGUGAUUGGAGUUGCACAGGUCAUUAACAAGGUCUCCGGCUCCCAUGAGUUCACCAACAAAGAUGAGGAGGUCUUCAGAAACUAUCUGACAUUUUGCGGUAUCGGCAUCAUGAAUGCCCAGCUGUUUGAGAUGUCUGUCAACGAGUACAAACGCAAUCAGAUGCUACUGCAGCUGGCCCGUGGCAUCUUUGAGGAACAGACAUCCCUGGAGAGUGUUGUCCACAAGAUUAUGAAGGAGGCCAUCACACUGCUCAAGUGCGAGCGUUGCUUGGUGUUUCUCCUGGAGGAUCACGACAAAUCGGCCUUUCUGAGUCAGCUCAGAGAAUCGCAGGGUCAGCAGAAGGCACUGGAAUCACCGGUCGCUGUCAAAAGCAACGCCGAUUUGGACCUGACCAAGGAAUUCCAUGCAGGUUUCAGCAAAGCUUUUGACCUCUUGGCUAAGAACAAGGAGGAGGUUAGGCAACCAAGUGAUGACUCGCUGAACAAGUCUGUGUACUCUGAGAUUGCUAAAUACGUGGCACUGACAGGAAAGACCAUCAACAUUGAGAAGUUUGAUAUGCAGUCCAAGUUCAAGCUGGUCGCUGAGGUAGACAUGGACUUCAAGUUGCACACGCUGCUAUGCCAGCCCAUCUACAACAGCCAGAACAAGAUUGUGGGUGUGGCAGAGAUGAUCAACAAGAUUGGGACGGCUCUCAACCCCACCUUUACUGAUCAGGAUGAGAACCUGUUUGAGGCUUUUGCCAUCUUCUGUGGACUGGGCAUCCACAACACACAGAUGUAUGAGAGUGCUGUCAAGCUGAUGGCCAAACAACAGGUAGCGCUAGAGGUCUUGUCCUAUCAUGCGACAGCACAGCAGGAUGAAGUAGAGAAACUCAAGCAAGCCGGCCCGGUGGAGAGCUCAGACAAGUUGAACCUGCACAACUUUACCUUCAAUGACUUCUCCUUGGAGGAGGACGAGACACUACAGGCCUCCAUCUGCAUGUUUGAGGAGUGCAACCUCAUCAACAAGUUUCACAUCCCUUACGAUGUCUUGUGUCGUUGGUUGUUGAGCGUGCGAAAGAACUACCGCCCCGUCAUUUACCACAAUUGGAGACAUGCUUUCAAUGUUGCCCAAACAAUGUUCGCCAUGUUCAAGUCUGGUGGGAUGGGCCAAGUCAUGUCUGACCUGGAGUCAUUUGCUCUGCUAGUUGCCUGUCUCUGCCAUGACCUGGAUCACCGUGGCACAAACAAUGCUUUCCAACUGAAAACAGCCUCAGCUCUGUCCCAGUUAUAUAGCACAUCCACCAUGGAGCAUCAUCACUUUGAUCAUUGUAUCAUGAUCCUCAACAGUGAGGGGAACAAUAUCUUCCAGUUCCUCUCGCCAGAGGACUACCGAGAGUUGAUCCGCAUGCUGGAGAGUGCCAUACUGUCUACUGACUUGGCGCUGUACUUUAAGAAACGCAAUGAUUUCUUCAAACUGGUUGAACAAGGAGUAAAAGACUGGCAUAAUCCGAGGCACAGGGACCUACUGAGGGGGAUGAUGAUGACUGCCUGUGAUGUCUCGGCCAUCACCAAGCCCUGGGAGGUCCAGAGGAGGGUAGCUGAGCUAGUAGCCAGUGAGUUCUUUGAACAGGGUGACAUGGAGCGAGAGCAGCUGAAGGAAGAACCCAUAGCCAUGAUGGAUCGGAAGAAAAAAAGUGAACUUCCCAAGAUGCAAGUGGGGUUCAUUGAUGCAAUAUGUAUGCCAGUGUACAAGAAUCUAGCCUCGAUGCAGCCUCAGCUGGCCCCACUAUACCAGGGCAUGCAACAAAACCGCAGCCAGUGGCAGCAGCUGGCUGACACUGAGGCCCAAAAGACCAUAGAGGCCCAAAAAGCUGAGGAGGAAAAAAAGAAGAGAAAAACCAUCCGGGAGCAGGCCAAGGAGCGAAAUGCGACGGCCAAGGGUGAGAUUGAUUGAAAGAGAAGAAAGAAAAAAAACCUGAUGCAGGAGACUGGAUGAGACGGUCUUCCUUUGGUUCCACUGUGCGUGCGUUGUCUCUCACACUUGGCAUGGGGUCGCUGUCUUCACCACAACCAACAAAGUCACCACCACUACCACUACCACCAUGCCACUUUCAUCCUCAUCUUCACUCAUCUUAUCCGGCCGGUUUUUGCCACUGCUACUGUUGCAUCAUGGCAUGGUUAUCUCCCCCACUGUCUGCUUGGUGUGGAGGGCCCCAUGCUGUUCUACUCUGUUGUGCUAAUGAGCGUCCUCCCUCCCCCUGGCAUGCAUGUGUGACGUGCGUGUGUUCUAUCUCACCUCAUCUCAUCUGGAAUGAUCGAUCGCCUGAUAGCCUUGCUGCACAGACACAUGGCCCACUGUUAUGCAAUUGAUGGUGCCCCAUCUUCAUACUGCCAGUAAUGGAAUGAUACGUGCAUGCUGGAUUUGCCUAUCUUUCUCAGCACUUUUCUUGUUGCCAGCUGCAUGAUAGCUGGUAGAUUUUUUUUCUUCUGCAGUCUGAUAAAAGUGUUUCACCUAUAUGAUGUUUUUUCUUUACUAGGUUCCUUUGAAAAUCCCUGCAGUGUAAUAAGAUAUAUUGAUUUAACCUUAUUCCUUUCCUCAAGUCACCCAAAUUAAGCUAAUAUAGAGAGGAAACAUCUCAUAUUUAGGAAAAUGUAAGGUAAGAGAAAUAAAUUCAAGAAGAAAAUUCAGUCAAAGAGGCCAUUCUUUUUCAAAUGUUCAAUAUUUAUGUGUGCUUUCUGUAAUAUUCCUCUCUCAUUUCUGAAUUGGAAGAAACAUGCUUGAAAUAAUCCAUUUUAUUAUGAGAUUACUCUUCUGAUCAAAGUAUCCUAAAGUAUUCCAAAAAUAGUGUCAUCUCUUUCAGUGCUUAGUCCUAUAUCGUUUGCAUUUAAACAGUAGCAUAACGAACUUUCCAGAAGUCAAAGUAAUUCUAGCUAAUUUUGCCAUAUCAUUAUCACAUUGUGCUCUCAUACACCAUUUUGUACUGUUCUUUACAUUGUUUCCUUUCUCAAGAGUAAGUAUUAAAAACCCCACUCUGCCAUGUAAAUUACCCCAAAUGGCAUGGGACCUCAAUGGCUUGACCACAUCUCUACCAGUCUGUGGCUGAAAACAAAUGGACUCAGUGGUGCAGCAUGAUGUGUUAGCCCAGGCUUGCUGAGGUCAGACUGAGGUCAUUCUAAGAUCAUCCUAAGGUCAACGCAUGAAAGGCAAUCAGUGACUCUGCAUGUUGGUUCAUUCCCACACACACACCCACACACAGAGUGCCCCAAGCAUGUCACUCUUUAUGCCACACCAGUCUCAGACAUGUUCUAUUUCUUCCAGCUGUAGUGAGUGAAAGACACUGCCUCGUGAGCUUCUUAACGUCCGUUCUGGAUCUGACCAUACUAAGGAUUUGACUGGCCAACAUCAGGCCAGUGUUGUAGUUCGGCUACUCUAAGUCUCUAAUGCACACACUCCUACUUGACAAGUUAUUUUGUGCUUGCCAAGCCCCACUUACCAAAAUGAACUCCCCCGUUACUGUACAAAGUUGCAGUGCAAUUAUAUUUGUACAUCUCAAACCAGAAUGUUCUUAUCUAUUCGAUUGUAUUCUAUCCUAUCCUUGUACUAGGACCUAAGUCCAUGCACAAUUGUUGAUGUGCCCUUUCUUAGAAUUAUGGAAAAUAUUGGACUACAAUACUGUGUAAGGCUUACCAGUACUUGUGCUCUAUUUUGUCUCAUUUAUAUGGCCCAGUGUAUUUGCAUUGAAAAAACACCAAACCUAUUCAGGGUUCAGUCAUCUCUAGAAGGUCUAGAUUCCUUCAGUUUUGGGAAAAAGGCAAAGUCCCCCUCCUCAACAAAUUGUAUACUUGAAGCUAAAUCUAAACUGCAUUUUAGUGUUGGCAUUUUCUAAUGUGUUCCAGUGAAGUUGUUGAGAUAGGAUGUAUGCAAAUUUGAUUUUAUUUAGUUUUCAAACAGUUACUGAAAAUAGGUCUACAAAGUUUCACAUGAUAGGGCAGAACUCUCGCCGCAUGAUACCUCAUUUCAUUUUGUUAGGCUUUACUUGACUGAAAAAAAGUUACAAAACAGCACAUUAGAAGGGUGAAGUCUAAUGAUAUGGGAUUUUAUCUAAAAAUAAAAAAUAUCUUGGAAAUCAUGUUAGAAUAACUGUUUCCACAUGUCUCUGUGUUGACACCCAGUUGCCUUUUUAUUUUUUUCCCUAUCAUCUUUCACACCCUUUGGACGAGCAGUUUAGAAUGUGCACUGCGGCCCGUGUGUGCCGACAUAACCCUAUGAGAAAGCCUAUCUCGCCAAGCAGGCUCAGGAAGAAGCCGCCUCAUCAAAGGGAGUAGAAGCCGCAACCCAGAGCAAGAACCAGAGG
This 5620-nucleotide unclassified non-coding RNA is filed under the name Acanthaster planci (crown-of-thorns starfish). Its description in RNAcentral is "cGMP-specific 3',5'-cyclic phosphodiesterase-like, transcript variant X2". Lineage: Eukaryota; Metazoa; Echinodermata; Asteroidea; Valvatida; Acanthasteridae. The record is from RNAcentral.